RNAcentral lists this RNase P RNA (402 nucleotides) under Verrucomicrobiota bacterium. RNAcentral describes it as "Verrucomicrobia bacterium RNase P RNA component class A". It matches the Rfam family "Bacterial RNase P class A". From Rfam's summary of the family: Ribonuclease P (RNase P) is a ubiquitous endoribonuclease, found in archaea, bacteria and eukarya as well as chloroplasts and mitochondria. Its best characterised activity is the generation of mature 5'-ends of tRNAs by cleaving the 5'-leader elements of precursor-tRNAs. Lineage: Bacteria; Pseudomonadati; Verrucomicrobiota. The record is from RNAcentral.
CGAUGGCAGAUGAUCGCUGGUGAGCCGUUUGGCUUGCUGGAGGAAAGUCCGAACACCAUACGGCAGCAUGCCGCGUAGAACACGCGGGCGCCGCACUUGAAAAACUGCGGCGACGGAGAGUGUCACAGAAAAGACACCGCCGGUUCUUUGGCAACAAAGGCACAGGCAAGGGUGAAAAGGCGAGGUAAGAGCUCACCGCUCGCGGAGUAAUUCGCGAGGCAUGAAAAACCCCAUGCGGUGCAAGACAAACAGAGGGAGGGCAGCCGGCCCGUUGAUCCUCGGGUAUCGUCGCAUCUCGGUCCCGCAACUGCGGGAUCGGACGUCCCGCGAAAGCGGGAUGAGAUAAAUGAUCAUCCGCGUGAGCAAACACGCCGACAGAAUUCGGCUUACCGCCAUCGAAAU